AUUAGUCUUUUAAUUGAAGACUUGUAUGAACGGUUGGACGAAAAGUAAACUGUCUUUGUUUGAGCAAAUUGAAUUUAACUUUUAAGUGAAAGGGCUUAAAUGAUCUAGAGGGACGAUAAGACCCUAUAAAACUUUACAUUAAAGUUAUUUAAAAAUUAUUUAGGUAAUAAGGUUUAUAAGUAAUAAAAUGUUUUGUUGGGGCGACAAGAAUAUAAUUAAUAUAACUGUUCUUAAAUGUAAUCAAAAAUUUUUGAUUUAAUGAUCCUAAGUAAAGAUAUUAGAAUAAGUUACUUUAGGGAUAACAGCGUAAUUUUUUUAGAGAGUUCAUAUCGAUAAAAGAGUUUGCGACCUCGAUGUUGAAUUAAAGAAUCUUUAUAGCGGAGAAGUUAUAGGAGAGGGUCUGUUCGACCUUUAAAUCUUUACAUGAUUUGAGUU
RNAcentral lists this ribosomal RNA (435 nucleotides) under Astacoides betsileoensis. RNAcentral's name for it is "partial 16S ribosomal RNA". It matches the Rfam family "Bacterial large subunit ribosomal RNA", at positions 1967 to 2611 of the family's 2925-position model. Lineage: Eukaryota; Metazoa; Arthropoda; Malacostraca; Decapoda; Parastacidae. The record is from RNAcentral.